RNAcentral lists this ribosomal RNA (1453 nucleotides) under Phocaeicola vulgatus. Its description in RNAcentral is "bacterial SSU rRNA". It matches the Rfam family "Bacterial small subunit ribosomal RNA". Lineage: Bacteria; Pseudomonadati; Bacteroidota; Bacteroidia; Bacteroidales; Bacteroidaceae. The record is from RNAcentral.
GAUGAACGCUAGCUACAGGCUUAACACAUGCAAGUCGAGGGGCAGCAUGGUCUUAGCUUGCUAAGGCCGAUGGCGACCGGCGCACGGGUGAGUAACACGUAUCCAACCUGCCGUCUACUCUUGGACAGCCUUCUGAAAGGAAGAUUAAUACAAGAUGGCAUCAUGAGUCCGCAUGUUCACAUGAUUAAAGGUAUUCCGGUAGACGAUGGGGAUGCGUUCCAUUAGAUAGUAGGCGGGGUAACGGCCCACCUAGUCUUCGAUGGAUAGGGGUUCUGAGAGGAAGGUCCCCCACAUUGGAACUGAGACACGGUCCAAACUCCUACGGGAGGCAGCAGUGAGGAAUAUUGGUCAAUGGGCGAGAGCCUGAACCAGCCAAGUAGCGUGAAGGAUGACUGCCCUAUGGGUUGUAAACUUCUUUUAUAAAGGAAUAAAGUCGGGUAUGCAUACCCGUUUGCAUGUACUUUAUGAAUAAGGAUCGGCUAACUCCGUGCCAGCAGCCGCGGUAAUACGGAGGAUCCGAGCGUUAUCCGGAUUUAUUGGGUUUAAAGGGAGCGUAGAUGGAUGUUUAAGUCAGUUGUGAAAGUUUGCGGCUCAACCGUAAAAUUGCAGUUGAUACUGGAUAUCUUGAGUGCAGUUGAGGCAGGCGGAAUUCGUGGUGUAGCGGUGAAAUGCUUAGAUAUCACGAAGAACUCCGAUUGCGAAGGCAGCCUGCUAAGCUGCAACUGACAUUGAGGCUCGAAAGUGUGGGUAUCAAACAGGAUUAGAUACCCUGGUAGUCCACACGGUAAACGAUGAAUACUCGCUGUUUGCGAUAUACGGCAAGCGGCCAAGCGAAAGCGUUAAGUAUUCCACCUGGGGAGUACGCCGGCAACGGUGAAACUCAAAGGAAUUGACGGGGGCCCGCACAAGCGGAGGAACAUGUGGUUUAAUUCGAUGAUACGCGAGGAACCUUACCCGGGCUUAAAUUGCAGAUGAAUUACGGUGAAAGCCGUAAGCCGCAAGGCAUCUGUGAAGGUGCUGCAUGGUUGUCGUCAGCUCGUGCCGUGAGGUGUCGGCUUAAGUGCCAUAACGAGCGCAACCCUUGUUGUCAGUUACUAACAGGUUCUGCUGAGGACUCUGACAAGACUGCCAUCGUAAGAUGUGAGGAAGGUGGGGAUGACGUCAAAUCAGCACGGCCCUUACGUCCGGGGCUACACACGUGUUACAAUGGGGGGUACAGAGGGCCGCUACCACGCGAGUGGAUGCCAAUCCCCAAAACCUCUCUCAGUUCGGACUGGAGUCUGCAACCCGACUCCACGAAGCUGGAUUCGCUAGUAAUCGCGCAUCAGCCACGGCGCGGUGAAUACGUUCCCGGGCCUUGUACACACCGCCCGUCAAGCCAUGGGAGCCGGGGGUACCUGAAGUGCGUAACCGCGAGGAGCGCCCUAGGGUAAAACUGGUGACUGGGACUAAG